This 1669-nucleotide long non-coding RNA is filed under the name Homo sapiens (human). RNAcentral's name for it is "non-protein coding lnc-AIM2-3:5". Lineage: Eukaryota; Metazoa; Chordata; Mammalia; Primates; Hominidae. The record is from RNAcentral.
CUCUGAACUCCAUGUGCUUCAGUUAACCCUUUCCCAAUGCGGUUCUCCGAUCAUUUUGUUUUAAAAACUAAUGUUUUCAUGAUGGAGACUGCUAGGUCACAUUCCCCAGGUAAAGAUAUUCAAAUUAUAGAAACCAGCCAAAGGUUUCCAUGAGGAAGGAUAUACUGAUUUUGGACUUAGACUUUUUCAAAUCCUUUUUUUUAACUUGAUAUAACAAGAGAGGAGAUCACACUUCUGAGAGGCAGGCUCACAUAUUUCAGAGUCUCCCUAUGGACAGAGUGUCACUGCUCUUGACCUCUUAACACCUGUACACUUCCAUGAUGACAGUGCAAGGGGCUAUUAAUUGGGCCAGGCGCAGUGGCUCACGCCUGUAAUUCCAGCAUGUUGGGAGGCCGAGGUGGUCGAAUCACAAGUUCCGGAGAUCAAAAGCAUCCUGGCUAACACAGUGAGACCUCGUUUCCACUAAAAAUACCAAAAAUUAGCCAGGUGUGGUGGCAAGCGCUUGCAGUCCCAGCUACUCGGGAGGCUGAGGCAGGAGAAUUGCUUGAACCCAGGAGACGGAGGUUGCAGUGAGCGGAGAUCGUGCCACUACACUCCAGCCUGGGUGACAGAGUGAGACUCCGUCAAAAAAAAAAAAAAAAAAAAAAAAAAGCUUCCUUCUUACGAGAACAUGAGGAUCCUUGGACUGAAAAGGUCCAGAGAAUGAAGGGAAAAUCUAUACAAAAACACAUUAUAGUGAAACUGAAGAAUAUAAUGAACAAAAAUACUCUGUAAGCCUUCGGUAAUGAGGAAUAGAUCACCUACAAAGAUUCAAGAAUCAAAUUGAAAGUGAAUCUCUAUAUCAAAACUGCCUGAAGCAGGACAAUGGAGUUAUUUUUAUAUAAUGUUGGUCCAAAGUUCCAUAUCAAUUGCAAAACCAAAAAAAAUUUUCAAUGGAAAGUUUUGACUUAUUUUGUGAGUGUGCUAGAAACAAUAAGUUCGUCUUCAAACUUUCCUGUUCUUUCCUGUUCUGUAAACAACCCUUCCUUCCUUUGCCGCCCCAGACAUGCCUUCCCGCCUAAUUGGUACAGGACAGUGUCUUCCUUCCCGCCUAAUUACCCCUAUAGAAUUUAAAGCAGUAGCCAAUCCGGUCAGCUUAGAAUGUGCAUUGUGACUGACGCAGGCAGCACCCUUCUGUAGAAGCAAAUAUGCUUUGCUGAGAAAUUUCCUGUUUAAGUGCUGGUUUUUCUUUGUGGCACUGAGCACUUGUUUCCAACAAGUGUGACAGCACAAUUUAUUUGCAAAAUAAAACCAGAUUUGGGAUGACAGUAGGCUAUGUAUAAUCUUUAUUUCACUGAAAUGUGAACACUCACAUGUUUUGUUUUGCAAUAUUAGUGCUUUUGAUUUUGGAGUAAUUAUUUAUAUCCCAAUGGAGUUUCUAGUAAGACACUAUUUAGAAUAUAUACACUAAAUAGCCUUUCUGAAGCCUCCAGAUUCUUAACUUCAAAAUGUAUCUAGCUCCACAGCACAGAAGAGGUGCUUUCAUCUUGUCUUAAGGGAAAAUAUAAUUUUACAUUUUAGAGUUUUAAUUUAGGCAAAAUGAUAUUUAAAUAGAAGAGUCUCAAAAACUAUUUUGUGAUACUCAGGGCCUCAGUCUUUUUGCAAGACAAAGACUCAUACCACAAGAAAA